This is a non-coding RNA of Podarcis lilfordi (Lilford's wall lizard), 74 nucleotides long. NCBI's taxonomy places the organism in Eukaryota, Metazoa, Chordata, Lepidosauria, Squamata, Lacertidae. The record is from the annotation of a GenBank genome assembly.
UGCUGGAUAGCUCAGUCAGUAGAGCACGAGACUCUUAAUUUCGUGGUUGUCGGUUUGAGCUCCAGGUUGGGUAA